Molecule: non-coding RNA, 77 nt
Organism: Trichonephila inaurata madagascariensis
Lineage: Eukaryota; Metazoa; Arthropoda; Arachnida; Araneae; Nephilidae
Source: the annotation of a GenBank genome assembly
UCCCCAGUGGCGCAAUUGGUUAGCGCGCCUGGUACUUAUAAUGCCAGGGGUUGUGAGUUCGAUUUCACCUGGAGGAA